RNAcentral lists this transfer RNA (72 nucleotides) under Bacillus phage vB_BsuM-Goe3. It matches the Rfam family "tRNA". Rfam says of the family: Transfer RNA (tRNA) molecules are approximately 80 nucleotides in length. Their secondary structure includes four short double-helical elements and three loops (D, anti-codon, and T loops). Lineage: Duplodnaviria; Heunggongvirae; Uroviricota; Caudoviricetes; Herelleviridae. The record is from Rfam by way of RNAcentral.
GGCUCUAUAGUGUAGCGGUCAACACGCCAGCCUGUCACGCUGGUAUCCCGGGUUCGAAUCCCGGUAGAGUCG